Molecule: ribosomal RNA, 442 nt
Filed under: uncultured bacterium
Lineage: Bacteria
Description: partial 16S ribosomal RNA
Rfam family: Bacterial small subunit ribosomal RNA
Source: RNAcentral
CCUACGGGUGGCAGCAGUGGGGAAUAUUGCGCAAUGGGGGCAACCCUGACGCCGCAACGCCGCGUGAUUGAAGAAGGCCUUCGGGUUGUACAGAUCUUUAAACAGGGACGAAGAAAUGACGGUAACUGAAGAAUAAGCUCCGGCUAACUACGUGCCAGCAGCCGCGGUCAUACGUAGAGAGCAAGCGUUAUCCGGAUUUCAGUGGUGUAAAGGGCGUGUAGCCGGGCCUGUACGUCAGAAGUGAAAUCUGGGGGCUUAACCCCCAAACUGCUUUUGAAACUGCGGGUCUUGAGUGAUGGAGAGGCAGGCGGAAUUCCCAGUGUAGCGGUGAAAUGCGUAGAUAUUGGGAGGAACACCAGUGGCGAAGGCGGCCUGCUGGACAUUAACGGACGCUGAGGCGCGAAAGCGUGGGGAGCAAACAGGAUUAGAUACCCGAGUAGUC